GCUUUCCUCGAUAAUACUGUUCUUGCUUUCCUCGAUAUUACUGCGUCGCGCCUUACAUACGGACACAUUGCAUUUCAAAGCAAACCCUUGGGCCUGUUCGUUCCGCUUCCGUGGCCGUCGGGUAGCAUGUGAUCCCCAUUCCACAACUGCUGUCAACUACUCUUCUGUGUCAAGAUUACUAAAUGCUUGA
This 190-nucleotide unclassified non-coding RNA is filed under the name Penaeus chinensis. RNAcentral describes it as "nicotinamide riboside kinase 1-like, transcript variant X5". The record is from RNAcentral. Lineage: Eukaryota; Metazoa; Arthropoda; Malacostraca; Decapoda; Penaeidae.